This 251-nucleotide ribosomal RNA is filed under the name uncultured Phascolarctobacterium sp. Its description in RNAcentral is "partial 16S ribosomal RNA". It matches the Rfam family "Bacterial small subunit ribosomal RNA", at positions 104 to 339 of the family's 1533-position model. The record is from RNAcentral. Lineage: Bacteria; Bacillati; Bacillota; Negativicutes; Acidaminococcales; Acidaminococcaceae.
GGGUGAGUAACGCGUAGGCAACCUGCCCUUUAGACGGGGACAACAUUCCGAAAGGGAUGCUAAUACCGGAUGUGACGCUCUUAUCGCAUGACGGGAGCGUGAAAGAUGGCCUCUACAUGUAAGCUAUCGCUAAAGGAUGGGCCUGCGUCUGAUUAGCUAGUUGGUAGUGUAACGGACAACCAAGGCGAUGAUCAGUAGCCGGUCUGAGAGGAUGAACGGCCACAUUGGGACUGAGACACGGCCCAGACUCC